Molecule: long non-coding RNA, 723 nt
Organism: Antechinus flavipes (yellow-footed antechinus)
Lineage: Eukaryota; Metazoa; Chordata; Mammalia; Dasyuromorphia; Dasyuridae
Exons: 2
Source: RefSeq, a predicted model, not a curated record
AGGAUGGAGGACACGGUGCGGUGAGCUCCACGGGCCGGGCACCGGAGGCCCCAGGAGGAGGGAGCGCUCCUGGCCGGGCGCCCCGGCCCCCGACUGCAGGGUGACGGGCACAUGGAUCACCCUCUCCUUUUGGCGGGAGACCCCCCAGCUCCCAGGGCCGGAGGCUCCAAAGCCAGGAUCCUUCCUACUCCGGCCACUGCGGCCUAAGGAGCAGUGCCCUCAGGACCCUCGGCACUCGCUGUGUGACUACAGACACAUAGGGAUCGUCCGCUCCCCUCUCCGUGACGAGGUCUCCCUUCCUUGCCAAGGCUGACACCUCAAGCACCCAGGUGACCCCCCCCUCUAGCCGACGGCCCCCUCAGGACCCCCAGCCCAGUGCCUCCGGCUGCUCCCUGGCUGCCUCCGGACACGCUCACAUCUCUCUCGGUCCCUGCGUCUCAGCGAGAGGGUCCCCCCCAGGCGCCUGCCCCACUCUCCUCGGCCACUGUUGGGCAGCUGGGUCCCUCUGUGACCCUUCUCUGGCCCAUUUUACAGAGGAGCAAACCAAGGCACAGUGAGAUGGCUCAGGGAUUGGAGGGACUCUGGCCCCCCCGGCUGCUCUCCCCUCACCACCCAGCUCCUGACCUUCUCCUCCCAGUCACUCUCUCUCUGGGGACUUUCUGUGGCCCUGAUGUCUCUGAUGACUGACUUAUUUUUAAUAAAGGUUUUUAUUUUCAAAACAGA